Molecule: non-coding RNA, 2477 nt
Organism: Musa acuminata subsp. malaccensis (wild Malaysian banana)
Lineage: Eukaryota; Viridiplantae; Streptophyta; Magnoliopsida; Zingiberales; Musaceae
Source: RefSeq, a predicted model, not a curated record
GCCCGAAACACAUGAUUCCGCUGCGGUUGCGAACGCGUCUCAUCCGCUCGCCAUGGACUUCCGUUUGCCCGAUUCCGCUGCCCUCCGGCCACUACCCUCGGCUUCCCUCUCCUCCUCGUGGCGCCUCGACCUUUACCUGUCUCCUAUUAUCCCGCCCGCGAAGAGGUGGAGAGGGAACUGCAGGCCUCCCUUCUCCGUUAGGGCAGCGAGGAGGAGCGCCGCCUCUAAGGGUCUCCAGAAGGACGCGAAGCGGGACCUGUCUCGGAUCCUCAGGACGGAGGCCGCCGUUCUCGGCGUCGAGCGCAAGGCCGGGUCCGCUAAGUCCACCCGCUUGUGGCCUAGAGCCGUUCUUGAGGCGCUCGAUGACUCCAUAUCCAACAACCGGUGGGAGUCGGCUCUCAAGAUCUUUGGAUUGCUUCGUAGACAACACUGGUAUCAGCCGAAACCUCAAACCUAUGCGAAGCUAUUGACUAUGCUGGGAAAGUGUAGACAGCCAGAUCAUGCGACUUCACUUUUCAGAGUUAUGCUCUCUGAAGGGCUCAACCCGACUUUAGAUGUUUACACUUCACUGGUAGGUGCAUAUGGCCACAGCGGUCUCCUAGAUGAGGCAAUUCAUACGAUGGAUGAGAUGAAAACCAUUUCCGAUUGCAGACCAGAUGCAUAUACUUAUACAAUUCUUAUCAACUGUUGCUGCAAACUUCGGCGCUUUGAUUUGGUCCCUUCACUGCUUGCUGAAAUGUCUUAUCUGGGGAUCGAGUCCAACACUGUUACUCAUAACACAAUUAUAGAUGGAUAUGGGAAAGUUGGAAUGCUUGAAGAAAUGGAGGAUCAUUUGUCAAAUAUGCUUGAGAGUGGGAAAUGCUUGCCUGACAUAUUUACAAUGAAUUCUUUUAUUUGGGCUUAUGGUAGUGUUGGUAGAGUAGAAGAAAUGGAAAGAUGGUAUGAUGAGUUUCAGCACAUGGGUGUCGAGCCUGAUUUGCAGACAUUUAAUAUUCUGAUCAAGUCAUAUGGUAAAGCAGGCAUGUAUGGGAAAAUGGUGUUGGUUAUGAAUUAUAUGAAAAAACGCUUCUUUUCUCCCGAUGCAGUCACUUUCAACAUAAUAAUAGAAUGUUUUGGGAGAGCAGGCAACAUUGAGAAGAUGGAAUACUUUUUCCGUUUGAUGAAAAUUCAAGGGGUCAAGCCUAAUUCUGUCACUUAUUGCUCACUAGUUAGCGGAUACAGUAAAGCUAAUCUUCUGGAGAAGGUUCCUUCAAUUAUCAGGCAAACAGAAAACACUGAUGUUGUUUUGGACACACCUUUUUUCAACUGUGUUAUUAGUGCAUAUGGACAAGCUCGAGAGGUGAAAAUAAUGGAAGAAAUGUUCACACAUAUGAAGGAAAAGAACUGCACACCUGAUACCAUCACAUUUGCAACAAUGAUUCAGGCAUACAAUGCUAUAGGCAUGUAUGAAGCUGCCAAAGAGUUGGAAAACAAAAUGCAUAUCACUGAAAGAAGAUUUCUGGCACCAACUAAUAGUAAGAAGCAUCAUGAAGCUUCUUAUGUAGAUGAAGACAUUGGUCCAUCUUGUGAAGACUCGGAUGCCAUUUAACCUCUGAUGUGGCAAGCAUACGCUCAUAUGUUUCAUUUCUUAUCUCUCUUGGAGCGCUUGCAUGGAAUCUUUCAGGGGUUGACGUGUGGGUGAAUAGGGAUUUCCUUCAACACGCAAUGUCUGCUAAUGUGUUGGAGACAUGGACGAUUUCAUCAAUCCUUACUGAUACCUCUAUUAAGAAUGAUACUGCAGUAAUGAUGAUCAUGAUUUCCAUUAGCGAUUUCACAGACACUUGGCAAGUCAUGCUGCUACUUCUCUUCAGUUGCUUCUAUUUCUAUGAGACUUGUUGCUUGUGUUAAUUAACCAGCAGAUGACUUUAAUGCAUUUUGGAUCUUCAGGACAUUGUCGGUCGUCUCUCCUACAAGCAAACACUCUGGGACUCUUUCGUCGACUUGAAGGAUCUUCACAAGAGCAUGGUCUUCUGCAAGCACUGUCAAGAUUAUUCUUCACAUAACCAGUAGGCACAGCUCCUUGUUUCAUCUCCGACCUUGAGGUAUCGAAACCAGGGAUGUGUGUCAAGCCAAAGCAGCCCCGCACGGUUUCAUCUUGUAGUCGUGCAUGGUUGCAUCUUGACAAGCUUGCAUGUGAGAAUCUUUAGCUGCUUGAGAGUUGAUGUCACACUUGUAGCUCUGCAGCUUCCUAAUUGAUGAAUCAUUUCCACCAACAGUCCUAUUGUAUUCUUCCACAUGAUGUUGAAACAGAUCAAGAGCAUGAUUUUGAAGGAAUCAGCAAGCUUUUCCAUGCUAGGAGCCGUUAGAAGGUGAAGCUUUUCCCCCUGACCAACCGGGCGAAUCAGAAUGCCCUCGAAAAAACAGAUGCGGAUGCUGCCGAUGGCGACCGUGAUACAAGCUGCUCCGCCAGUGCAAGCUCAAUUCAUCCACUUCUACUU